GCCACCAUAGCUCAAUUGGCAGAGCACCUGUUUUGUAAACAGGUUGUUCUGGGUUCGAGUCCCAGUGGUGGCU
This 73-nucleotide transfer RNA is filed under the name Chloroflexota bacterium. RNAcentral describes it as "Chloroflexi bacterium tRNA-Thr". It matches the Rfam family "tRNA". From Rfam's summary of the family: Transfer RNA (tRNA) molecules are approximately 80 nucleotides in length. Their secondary structure includes four short double-helical elements and three loops (D, anti-codon, and T loops). RNAcentral also lists the same sequence under 2 other names. Lineage: Bacteria; Bacillati; Chloroflexota. The record is from RNAcentral.